Molecule: transfer RNA, 73 nt
Filed under: Cordylochernes scorpioides
Lineage: Eukaryota; Metazoa; Arthropoda; Arachnida; Pseudoscorpiones; Chernetidae
Description: tRNA-Thr
Source: RNAcentral
GUCCAGGGAUGGGAAUCGAACUCACAGUGUUUCACUUACCGGGCAAAUGCCAUGUCGCCUAGGCUACCCUGGA